Molecule: long non-coding RNA, 292 nt
Filed under: Rattus norvegicus (Norway rat)
Lineage: Eukaryota; Metazoa; Chordata; Mammalia; Rodentia; Muridae
Description: long non-coding RNA NONRATT008528
Source: RNAcentral
AUAGGUUGGUGCCUCUUUCAGAUUCGCCCAACUCAGAGCAGUGUUGGGAGACCCGGAUCUUCGAGAUGUGACCUGAGACUCUGCAGAGCGCUCACGCCACCUGUAAGCCCCAAGAGCAGUAGACGGUUUCUCGCCAAGACACCUGCGCUACAACUGUAUCAACCAUGGCCUCUUCCCUCAGCCCCACCCAUUUCUGACUUAUCCCCCACCAAGAACGAGACGAAGAAAAGAGCCCCCGGCAGCUGCUGACCUGUAUUAAUAAAGUUGCACAGGCCCCAGCCUGUGGGGCUGA